GUGCGUCUUCGGAUGCCACGCUGAAACUUAUCAGGAGGAUAGCCCGGGGAAACUCGGAUUAAUACUCCAUAAGAUUUUGAUUGGCAUCGAUUAAAAUUGAAAGAUUUAUUGGAUAAGGAUAGGCAUGCGUCAGAUUAGUUAGUUGGUAGUGUAACGGACUACCAAGGCGAUGAUCUGUAGGGGGCCUGAGAGGGUGAACCCCCACACUGGUACUGAGACACGGACCAGACUCCUACGGGAGGCAGCAGUGAGGAAUAUUGGACAAUGGAGGGAACUCUGAUCCAGCCAUCCCGCGUGCAGGAAGACGGCCCUAUGGGUUGUAAACUGCUUUUGUAUGGGGAUAAAUCUACCUACGUGUAGGUAGUUGAAGGUACCAUACGAAUAAGCAUCGGCUAACUCCGUGCCAGCAGCCGCGGUAAUACGGAGGAUGCAAGCGUUAUCCGGAUUCAUUGGGUUUAAAGGGUCCGUAGGCGGGCUGAUAAGUCAGUGGUGAAAUUUUGUCGCUCAACGAUAAAACUGCCAUUGAUACUGUUAGUCUUGAGUGAUAUUGAAGUAGCUGGAAUGUGUAGUGUAGCGGUGAAAUGCAUAGAUAUUACACAGAACACCGAUUGCGAAGGCAGGUUACUAAGUAUUAACUGACGCUGAAGGACGAAAGCGUGGGGAGCGAACAGGAUUAGAUACCCUGGUAGUCCACGCAGUAAACGAUGCUAACUCGUUUUCGGGGAGUGAUCUUCGACCCCCCCCCGGGAAAAAA
Molecule: ribosomal RNA, 754 nt
Filed under: Ornithobacterium rhinotracheale
Lineage: Bacteria; Pseudomonadati; Bacteroidota; Flavobacteriia; Flavobacteriales; Weeksellaceae
Description: bacterial SSU rRNA
Rfam family: Bacterial small subunit ribosomal RNA
Source: RNAcentral